RNAcentral lists this unclassified non-coding RNA (190 nucleotides) under fungal sp. Its description in RNAcentral is "partial internal transcribed spacer region". The stretch from base 1 to 46 matches the Rfam family "Eukaryotic small subunit ribosomal RNA", at positions 1786 to 1831 of the family's 1831-position model. The record is from RNAcentral. Lineage: Eukaryota; Fungi.
AAGUCGUAACAAGGUUUCCGUAGGUGAACCUGCGGAAGGAUCAUUAGUAAUGUGCGAGGCGAAAGCCAAGCAUUUAUUAUACCUUACACACCUGUGCACCUGCCCUUUGGGCAUUUUUAACAAACUACAAGUCUUGAAUGUAAUAUAACAAAAACAAAUACAACUUUCAACAACGGAUCUCUUGGCUCUC